UACAGAGGGGGCAAGCGUUGUUCGGAAUUACUGGGCGUAAAGGGCGCGUAGGCGGCCCUCUAAGUCGAACGUGAAAUCCCCGAGCUCAACUCGGGAACUGCGUCCGAUACUGGCGGGCUUGAAUUCGGGAGAGGGAUGCGGAAUUCCAGGUGUAGCGGUGAAAUGCGUAGAUAUCUGGAGGAACACCGGUGGCGAAGGCGGCAUCCUGGACCGGCAUUGACGCUGAGGCGCGAAAGCCAGGGGAGCAAACGGG
RNAcentral lists this ribosomal RNA (253 nucleotides) under uncultured bacterium. Its description in RNAcentral is "partial 16S ribosomal RNA". It matches the Rfam family "Bacterial small subunit ribosomal RNA", at positions 524 to 776 of the family's 1533-position model. The record is from RNAcentral.